UUUCGAGUGCGUAACUGACUCAGUCUCACCCUAAGAACAAAAGCACUGACUGAUAUGGCUACAUGCUUCUAUUUUCAAUUGCUUCCUCCCCCAACUCCACCCUCCAAAUGAGAAAUCACAAGCUCUUUUCUGCUUCUGGAUUGGUUAGAGGAAAAAUGAUAACUAGAUAUAAAACGAAAAAUUCUUGAGUUUGAAACUGACUCAACUAGC
This 210-nucleotide long non-coding RNA is filed under the name Nicotiana benthamiana. RNAcentral's name for it is "long non-coding RNA (NBEN_LNC027345)". The record is from RNAcentral. Lineage: Eukaryota; Viridiplantae; Streptophyta; Magnoliopsida; Solanales; Solanaceae.